AGAGUUUGAUCCUGGCUCAGGAUGAACGCUAGCUACAGGCUUAACACAUGCAAGUCGAACGAGAGAUGAGGAGCUUGCUCUUCAAAUCGAGUGGCGAACGGGUGAGUAACGCGUGAGGAACCUGCCUCAAAGAGGGGGGACAACAGUUGGAAACGACUGCUAAUACCGCAUAAGCCCACGGCUCGGCAUCGAGCAGAGGGAAAAGGAGCAAUCCGCUUUGAGAUGGCCUCGCGUCCGAUUAGCUGGUUGGUGAGGUAACGGCCCACCAAGGCGACGAUCGGUAGCCGGACUGAGAGGUUGAACGGCCACAUUGGGACUGAGACACGGCCCAGACUCCUACGGGAGGCAGCA
RNAcentral lists this ribosomal RNA (351 nucleotides) under uncultured bacterium. RNAcentral describes it as "bacterial SSU rRNA". It matches the Rfam family "Bacterial small subunit ribosomal RNA", at positions 8 to 353 of the family's 1533-position model. The record is from RNAcentral.